ACGGGAGGCAGCAGUGGGGAAUAUUGGGCAAUGGGCGAAAGCCUGACCCAGCAACGCCGCGUGAAGGAUGAAGGUCUUCGGAUUGUAAACUUCUUUGAUCAGGGACGAAUUUUGACGGUACCUUAAGAACAAGUCACGGCUAACUACGUGCCAGCAGCCGCGGUAAUACGUAGGUGACAAGCGUUAUCCGGAUUUACUGGGUGUAAAGGGCGUGUAGGCGGUUUUGCAAGUCAGAUGUGAAAUUCCCGGGCUUAACUUGGGCGCUGCAUCUGAAACUGCAGAACUUGAGUACUGGAGGGGAUAGCGGAAUUCCUAGUGUAGCGGUAAAAUGCGCAGAUAUUAGGAGGAACACCGGUGGCGAAGGCGGCUAUCUGGACAGUAACUGACGCUGAGGCGCGAAAGCGUGGGGAGCAAACAGGAUUAGAUACCCUGGUA
RNAcentral lists this ribosomal RNA (435 nucleotides) under uncultured Saccharofermentans sp. Its description in RNAcentral is "bacterial SSU rRNA". It matches the Rfam family "Bacterial small subunit ribosomal RNA", at positions 341 to 792 of the family's 1533-position model. Lineage: Bacteria; Bacillati; Bacillota; Clostridia; Eubacteriales; Oscillospiraceae. The record is from RNAcentral.